Molecule: ribosomal RNA, 908 nt
Filed under: Cleromorpha novemguttata
Lineage: Eukaryota; Metazoa; Arthropoda; Insecta; Coleoptera; Cleridae
Description: SSU rRNA
Rfam family: Eukaryotic small subunit ribosomal RNA
Source: RNAcentral
UGUCUCAGUACAAGCCNNAUAAGGUGAAACCGCGAAAGGCUCAUUNNAUCAGUUAUGGUUCCUUAGAUCGUACCCACACUUACUUGGAUAACUGUGGUAAUUCUAGAGCUAAUACAUGCAAACAGAGCUCCGACCGGAGACGGAAGGAGCGCUUUUAUUAGAUCAAAACCAAUCGGUGGCGGGUCCCCUCGUCAUCGUAUAACUUGGUGACUCUGAAUAACAACUCUAAGCUGAUCGCACGGUCUAGCACCGGCGACGCAUCUUUCAAAUGUCUGCCUUAUCAACUGUCGAUGGUAGGUUCUGCGCCUACCAUGGUCGUAACGGGUAACGGGGAAUCAGGGUUCGAUUCCGGAGAGGGAGCCUGAGAAACGGCUACCACAUCCAAGGAAGGCAGCAGGCGCGCAAAUUACCCACUCCCGGCACGGGGAGGUAGUGACGAAAAAUAACGAUACGGGACUCAUCCGAGGCCCCGUAAUCGGAAUGAGUACACUCUAAACCCUUUAACGAGGAUCAAUUGGAGGGCAAGUCUGGUGCCAGCAGCCGCGGUAAUUCCAGCUCCAAUAGCGUAUAUUAAAGUUGUUGCGGUUAAAAAGCUCGUAGUCGAAUUUGUGUCCCGCGCCGCCGGUUCAUCGUCCGCGGUGUUAACUGGCGUGCCGCGGGACGUCCUGCCGGUGGGCUUAGCUCUUCGGAGCGGCGCCCAACUCAAUCCCGCCGCGGUGCUCUUCACUGAGUGUCGCAGUGGGCCGGCACGUUUACUUUGAACAAAUUAGAGUGCUUAAAGCAGGCUAAAACUUCGCCUGAAUACUGUGUGCAUGGAANAAUGGAAUAGGACCUCGGUUCUAUUUUGUUGGUUUUCGGAACCCCGAGGUAAUGAUUAAUAGGAACGGAUGGGGGCAUUCGUAUUGAGA